AAGUCGAACGAAGCUAUGAGACGGAAGCCUUCGGGUGGAAGACUGAUAGACUGAGUGGCGGACGGGUGAGUAACGCGUGGGCAACCUGCCCCAUACCGGGGGAUAGCAGUUGGAAACGGCUGGUAAAACCGCAUAAGCGCACGGUAAGGCAUCUUACAGUGUGAAAAACUCCGGUGGUAUGGGAUGGGCCCGCGUCUGAUUAGCCAGUUGGUGAGGUAACGGCUCACCAAAGCGACGAUCAGUAGCCGGCCUGAGAGGGCGGACGGCCACAUUGGGACUGAGACACGGCCCAGACUCCUACGGGAGGCAGCAGUGGGGGAUAUUGCACAAUGGAGGAAACUCUGAUGCAGCGACGCCGCGUGAGUGAAGAAGUAUUUCGGUAUGUAAAGCUCUAUCAGCAGGGAAGAAAGGCUCGCAAGAGAGAUGACGGUACCUGAGUAAGAAGCUCCGGCUAAAUACGUGCCAGCAGCCGCGGUAAUACGUAUGGAGCAAGCGUUAUCCGGAUUUACUGGGUGUAAAGGGAGCGCAGACGGAUAUGCAAGUCUGAAGUGAAACCCCACGGCUCAACCGUGGGCUUGCUUUGGAAACUGUAGAUCUAGAGUACUGGAGAGGUAAGCGGAAUUCCUGGUGUAGCGGUGAAAUGCGUAGAUAUCAGGAAGAACAUCGGCGGCGAAGGCGGCUUACUGGACAGCAACUGACGUUGAGGCUCGAAGGCGUGGGGAGCAAACAGGAUUAGAUACCCUGGUAGUCCACGCGGUAAACGAUGAAUACUAGGUGUUGGGAGACAAAGUUUU
RNAcentral lists this ribosomal RNA (794 nucleotides) under uncultured bacterium. RNAcentral's name for it is "bacterial SSU rRNA". It matches the Rfam family "Bacterial small subunit ribosomal RNA", at positions 59 to 839 of the family's 1533-position model. The record is from RNAcentral.